This 492-nucleotide ribosomal RNA is filed under the name uncultured bacterium. RNAcentral describes it as "partial 16S ribosomal RNA". It matches the Rfam family "Bacterial small subunit ribosomal RNA", at positions 29 to 507 of the family's 1533-position model. The record is from RNAcentral.
AGUGAACGCUGGCGGUAGGCCUAACACAUGCAAGUCGAACGGCAGCACAGUAAGAGCUUGCUCUUACGGGUGGCGAGUGGCGGACGGGUGAGGAAUACAUCGGAAUCUACUUUUUCGUGGGGGAUAACGUAGGGAAACUUACGCUAAUACCGCAUACGACCUACGGGUGAAAGCAGGGGAUCUUCGGACCUUGCGCGAUUGAAUGAGCCGAUGUCGGAUUAGCUAGUUGGCGGGGUAAAGGCCCACCAAGGCGACGAUCCGUAGCUGGUCUGAGAGGAUGAUCGGCCACACUGGAACUGAGACACGGUCCAGACUCCUACGGGAGGCAGCAGUGGGGAAUAUUGGACAAUGGGCGCAAGCCUGAUCCAGCCAUACCGCGUGGGUGAAGACGGCCUUCGGGUUGUAAAGCCCUUUUGUUGGGAAAGAAAAGCAGCAGGUUAAUACCCCGCUGUUCUGACGGUACCCAAAGAAUAAGCACCGGCUAACUUCGUG